This 18-nucleotide small nuclear RNA is filed under the name Arabidopsis thaliana (thale cress). Its description in RNAcentral is "snRNA_04279". Lineage: Eukaryota; Viridiplantae; Streptophyta; Magnoliopsida; Brassicales; Brassicaceae. The record is from RNAcentral.
AAUUUUAGCUCUGAGGGA